RNAcentral lists this ribosomal RNA (555 nucleotides) under uncultured fungus. RNAcentral describes it as "eukaryotic LSU rRNA". The stretch from base 218 to 371 matches the Rfam family "5.8S ribosomal RNA". The record is from RNAcentral. Lineage: Eukaryota; Fungi.
AGUAAAAGUCGUAACCAAGGUCUCCGUAGGUGAACCUGCGGAGGGAUCAUUACACAAAUAUGAAGGCGGGCUGGAACCUCUCGGGGUUACAGCCUUGCUGAAUUAUUCACCCUUGUCUUUUGCGUACUUCUUGUUUCCUUGGUGGGUUCGCCCACCACUAGGACAAACAUAAACCUUUUGUAAUUGCAAUCAGCGUCAGUAACAAAUUAAUAAUUACAACUUUCAACAACGGAUCUCUUGGUUCUGGCAUCGAUGAAGAACGCAGCGAAAUGCGAUAAGUAGUGUGAAUUGCAGAAUUCAGUGAAUCAUCGAAUCUUUGAACGCACAUUGCGCCCUUUGGUAUUCCAAAGGGCAUGCCUGUUCGAGCGUCAUUUGUACCCUCAAGCUUUGCUUGGUGUUGGGCGUCUUGUCUCUAGCUUUGCUGGAGACUCGCCUUAAAGUAAUUGGCAGCCGGCCUACUGGUUUCGGAGCGCAGCACAAGUCGCACUCUCUAUCAGCAAAGGUCUAGCAUCCAUUAAGCCUUUUUUCAACNNNNGACCUCGGAUCAGGUAGGGA